Molecule: ribosomal RNA, 441 nt
Filed under: uncultured bacterium
Lineage: Bacteria
Description: partial 16S ribosomal RNA
Rfam family: Bacterial small subunit ribosomal RNA
Source: RNAcentral
CCUACGGGAGGCUGCAGUGGGGAAUAUUGCACAAUGGGGGAAACCCUGAUGCAGCAACGCUGCGUGAGCGAUGAAGGCCUUCGGGUCGUAAAGCUCUGUCCUAAGGGAAGAAUACUGACGGUACCUUAGGAGGAAGCCCCGGCUAACUACGUGCCAGCAGGCGCGGUAAUACGUAGGGGGCGAGCGUUAUACGGAAUCAAUGGGCGUAAAGGGUGCGUAGGCGGUAGGGAAAGUCAGAUGUUAAAGCCCGGGGCUGAACAUCUGGAUUGUGUUUGAUACUGUCUUACUAGAGUGCAGGAGAGGAAAGCGUAAUUGCUAGUGUAGCUGUGUAUUGCGUAGUUAUUGGGCAGAACACCAGUGGCGUUGGCGGCUUUCUUGACUGUGACUGACGAUGAGGCACGAAAGUGUGGGAGUCGAACAGGAGUAUAUACCCCUCUAGUC